UGGUUUGGGUUGGAAGGGAUCCCAUGGAUGCCCCACAGCAUCAUGCCCAGCAUCCAGACAGAAGAAAGCUGGCCAGGAUCGGUCAGCGCCUGAGUUAGGCACCACUUGUUUUAUCCCAUGUGUUGCUUCAGUGAAAGUUUGCUCAGCAAUACAAAGGGAGAAGAGGAUGUCACUUGACAGAGUGAAGAGUUUGGUAUUUUGACAUUGGAUGAAAACUGAGUGUUGGAAACUCAUUCUCAGAGGGGAUGGAGUCUGAGGUGUGGACAACUUCACAUGAAGCUUUUCAGCUAACUCUAAUACAAAAUGUAGCUGGACUUCUCUUUUUGGUAUCAGGAAGAAGUGAUAAUAAAAUCUUAGGUAACAGAA
Long non-coding RNA from Cyanistes caeruleus (blue tit), 366 nucleotides. RefSeq lists it as uncharacterized. The record is from RefSeq and is a predicted model, not a curated record. NCBI's taxonomy places the organism in Eukaryota, Metazoa, Chordata, Aves, Passeriformes, Paridae.